RNAcentral lists this ribosomal RNA (409 nucleotides) under uncultured microorganism. RNAcentral describes it as "bacterial SSU rRNA". It matches the Rfam family "Archaeal small subunit ribosomal RNA", at positions 330 to 745 of the family's 1478-position model. The record is from RNAcentral.
GCGCAGCAGGCGCGAAUCUUUAUAAUGCGCGCAAGCGUGAUAGAGGGAUCUUGAGUGUUUCACUUUUGUGAAACUUUGCUAUCCUUAAAUAAGAUAGCGAAUAAGGACUGGGUAAGACUGGUGCCAGCAGCCGCGGUAAUACCAGCGGUCCGAGUGGGACUCACUUUUAUUGGGUCUAAAACAUCCGUAGCCGGUCUUGCAAGUUUCUUGUUAAAUUUUGGGCUUAACCCAAAGCUGCAAGAAUACUGCAAGGCUAGAGACUGGGAGACGUAGUGAGUACGGCAAGGGUAGUAGUAAAAUACGUUAAUCCUUGCUGGACUAACGAUGGCGAAGGCACACUACGAGAACAGCUCUGACGGUCAGGGAUGAAAAGCGAGGGGCGCAAAAACGGAUUAGAUACCCCGGUAGU